UCGGCUUGAUCCUGGCUCAGGAUGAACGCUAGCGGGAGGCUUAACACAUGCAAGUCGAGGGGCAGCAUUCACUUCGGUGAGAUGGCGACCGGCGGACGGGUGCGUAACGCGUAUGCAACCUGCCUUAUACAGGGGGAUAGCCCAUGGAAACGUGGAUUAAUACCUUAUGGUACUAUAAAACUGCAUAGUUUAAUAGUUAAAACUCCGGUGGUAUAAGAUGGGCAUGCGUCUGAUUAGCUAGAUGGUAAGGCAACGGCUUACCAUGGCGACGAUCAGUAGGGGUCCUGAGAGGGUUACCCCCCACACCGGUACUGAGACACGGACCAGACUCCUACGGGAGGCAGCAGUGAGGAAUAUUGGUCAAUGGGCGGAAGCCUGAACCAGCCAUCCCGCGUGCAGGAUGACGGCCCUAUGGGUUGUAAACUGCUUUUCUGCGCCAAGAAACCUUGCUACGAGUAGCAAGUUGACGGUAGCGCAGGAAUAAGGACCGGCUAACUCCGUGCCAGCAGCCGCGGUAAUACGGAGGGUCCAAGCGUUAUCCGGAUUUAUUGGGUUUAAAGGGUGCGCAGGCGGGGGUGCAAGUCAGUGGUGAAAUGUUGCCGCUCAACGGUAAAAUUGCCAUUGAUACUGCACCUCUUGAGUAUGGUUGAGGUAGGCGGAAUGUGUUGUGUAGCGGUGAAAUGCAUAGAUAUGACACAGAACACCGAUUGCGAAGGCAGCUUACUAAGCCAUUACUGACGCUGAGGCACGAAAGCGUGGGGAGCGAACAGGAUUAGAUACCCUGGUAGUCCACGCCGUAAACGAUGUUCACUCGCUGUUUGCGAUACACAGCAAGCGGCUAAGCGAAAGCAUUAAGUGAACCACCUGGGGAGUACGAUCGCAAGGUUGAAACUCAAAGGAAUUGACGGGGGCCCGCACAAGCGGAGGAACAUGUGGUUUAAUUCGAUGAUACGCGAGGAACCUU
Molecule: ribosomal RNA, 964 nt
Filed under: uncultured Bacteroidota bacterium
Lineage: Bacteria; Pseudomonadati; Bacteroidota
Description: bacterial SSU rRNA
Rfam family: Bacterial small subunit ribosomal RNA
Source: RNAcentral